CCGCCUCCCCUCUGCCGCCGCGGGGCCGGGGCUGCUGCCCGCCGGGCAGUCACCCCGGGCAGACCGCUCCUCACGGAGGUUCCGCCAGGUUUUAUUUAGUGGGGGUUAUCCAGCGGGUCUGGAAUAAAUACGUAACGUGUGACAGGUCUGAACAAAAUUCUUUCCUGUGCGUGAGUGGUUGAUGUUAUUCCGUAACUAUUUCGACAGGAUAAUUCCAUAACUAUUUGUGCAAGAGACUGGAAGAGAUAAGGGCUGCAGAAGUUAAACAGGCUAUUUCCUGUCGAUAUUAGACAGGACUUUUCCUGUUUGUAAAUGAGCACAGUCAAAGAAGCCCUUUCAACGAAAGAGCAAUGGUUGUUAAGGACACCUGCUGUUACAAAAGAACUUCCUACAGGAGCUAAUUAUUCAAUAGGUAAAGUCCAAGCUGAGAGCACCUGAAAGCA
This 443-nucleotide long non-coding RNA is filed under the name Cyanistes caeruleus (blue tit). RNAcentral describes it as "lncRNA (ENSCCEG00000024433.1)". Lineage: Eukaryota; Metazoa; Chordata; Aves; Passeriformes; Paridae. The record is from RNAcentral.